This 468-nucleotide ribosomal RNA is filed under the name uncultured bacterium. RNAcentral describes it as "bacterial SSU rRNA". It matches the Rfam family "Bacterial small subunit ribosomal RNA", at positions 30 to 490 of the family's 1533-position model. The record is from RNAcentral.
AUUGAACGCUGGCGGCAUGCCUUACACAUGCAAGUCGAACGGCAGCACGGGAGCAAUCCUGGUGGCGAGUGGCGAACGGGUGAGUAAUAUAUCGGAACGUGCCCAGUCGUGGGGAUAACGUAGCGAAAGCUACGCUAAUACCGCAUACGAUCUAUGGAUGAAAGCGGGGGAUCGCAAGACCUCGCGCGAUUGGAGCGGCCGAUAUCAGAUUAGGUAGUUGGUGAGGUAAAGGCUCACCAAGCCGACGAUCUGUAGCUGGUCUGAGAGGACGACCAGCCACACUGGGACUGAGACACGGCCCAGACUCCUACGGGAGGCAGCAGUGGGGAAUUUUGGACAAUGGGCGCAAGCCUGAUCCAGCAAUGCCGCGUGCAGGAUGAAGGCCUUCGAGUUGUAAACUGCUUUUGUUACGGAACGAAACGGUAGAGACUCUAAUACAGUUUGCUAAUGACGUACCGUAAGAAUAAG